CAGAUUAAAGCUUUAAGGAAGCAUCUUAUUUACAUUAAGAGGAUUUCUGUUCAAUUCAGUUUAAUUUGA
This 69-nucleotide transfer RNA is filed under the name Dromaeolus sp. ZM-2022. RNAcentral describes it as "tRNA-Val". Lineage: Eukaryota; Metazoa; Arthropoda; Insecta; Coleoptera; Eucnemidae. The record is from RNAcentral.